UUUGUGGACGUAAUGUUGACGGGUCCAAUUUCUGCAGAGGAAUACUUUGCAGCCACUGCAGCCAGUCUGUGGCUGCCGGUGAAGCCAUCUACGGCACGGAUUCCAAAACAUUUUGUAACUAUGAGUCAUUUUGACGAUUUUGACACCAAAAUAUGUUAUAGCACCCAGGUUUAAAAAUACCAAAAUUAUCCUUUAAUAAUCACAUACAAGAUGAACAUAAUGAUACUCACCAAUGGGUAGCACCAGGAAAAAGGGCAGCCAGCACAACACGAAGCAGCCAACCACAAUGCCCAAGGUCUUUGCGGCCUUCUUCUCACGCCCUGGCUCUCUCUGUGAGCUACCACAUAUACCCGACAGUACAUGACCAGUAUGAUGGCAAGAGGAAGGUAGAAAGAGCCCAAAGCAGAGAAGAUAGCAUAGCCCGGCACCUGUGUGAUCUUGCAUACUGACUCGUCCUCAGGUGCCGGCUCUUUCCAGCCAAACAAAGGUCCAAUAGAUAUGAUGAUAGACAGCACCCAAAGCAGCAUCACUGCCAGCAGCGCCCUGCGUUUUGUCAUUAUAGUUGGGUAACGCAGAGGGUAACUCACUCCGAUGUAGCGGUCAACGGAGAUCACACAGAGGCUCAUGAUGGAGGCAGUGCAGCAGAGCACGUCCACAGCUGCCCAAACAUUGCAAAAGGCCCGUCCAAAGACCCAACGAUCCACAAUCUCAAAAAUGGCAGAGAAAGGUGUCGGUGACAAACUACUGAGAGGAUUACCAAAAUGUUUCCCACAAUUCCAAACACAAUGAGGAAACCGAGCACCAAGCCCAAAACUACAGCCUUGACUACGUUGAGCUCUGGGACUAAAACCUGGCUGCAGUUGGAGCAGUUCUGUGUCAGAGAAGCUGGGGUCAUUUUGUCAAGCACAGGAACCAUCUGUUCCAGUACUAAGCUGAUGCUCGACACUGUCCUGUGAAGCAAAGGUGUACUGAAACACAACACACCUAUUUCAGUUCACUACAGGGGGAAAAGGACAUCAGGGCUUUCUCAUAAAAGCCAUUAGAGUAAUGAUCGCAUUAAGACUGUCUUGUCUAAACAUAAUUUGAAUGAUGAUGCCUCUGGCAAAUGAGCCAUUACACUGGCAAUGCAUCAAGAAAAAUAAAACUACAGGACGCAUGCAGAAACACCGAGAGAGAAGUUUAAUAUAUGCACACAAAACCUACCUUAAACCUUAAAACUGAG
Micropterus dolomieu (smallmouth bass) is the source of this 1222-nucleotide long non-coding RNA. RefSeq lists it as uncharacterized. Lineage: Eukaryota; Metazoa; Chordata; Actinopteri; Centrarchiformes; Centrarchidae. The transcript is spliced from 3 exons. The record is from RefSeq and is a predicted model, not a curated record.